GAAUAAGCGAAUAGCACUUGUGAUAUAUGUGAAGAAUAGAGAGUAGCUUGACCAAUUAUAAAUAAUAUGUAAACAUUAGCCAAACAUCAAUAAAUUCAUUACCUGAACCAUGCAAUGAAACCAUGGAUGAAUUAUAUACAGCUGGGAAAAAAGGGAAGCUUAAGUUAUGACAAAACUGUGAAGCAAAAAACUUCACCUGAAAUAGCUUCAAUGUUCCACAAAAUUUGGAGCUCUUUUCGUGUCGUUGCUUUGAAAAGAUGAUGUAGAAUCCUUUUCUCAUGAAAUGUUAUCUCCUAAAAAUGAAAAAACUCUCCUUUUAAAAACCCGAGCUAAGUCAAAAAUUUCAGAUUCCCGAAUUUGCCUCGUCAUAUUAUCUUCCUGCCAUAAGCACUUGAUUUUAUGAGUCAAUCUGUUAGCAAUGUCGACUGUCAAGCUUGCCAUAUCUCUCCUGUUUGUCAAUGCUCGUAAAACAGGGAUGGAGUAUUGAGGAUGCGAGACAAGUCUGUUCAAGAGAAUGAGCGUCUCCCGAAUGAGUAAGCUUCUGUAAGGGUAAAGUAGGAGUUGAGUAUAAUGAACAAGAACAGAGAAAAAAGCAAGAAGUUGGUCAAAAAACUUCGACUAAAAGUAAUUUUAACUUCUAAAGAUG
Molecule: long non-coding RNA, 646 nt
Filed under: Olea europaea subsp. europaea
Lineage: Eukaryota; Viridiplantae; Streptophyta; Magnoliopsida; Lamiales; Oleaceae
Source: RNAcentral